CUGCUACCGCGAGUUCUCCGAGGCCCCCAAGCCGGACAAUUUCUUGUCCUACAUCGGUGACAUGGCCAGCCUCCUCUCCGGUGCAUCCCUCACCGACAACGCAAACACGGGAGUUGUCAAGCUUGGAGAUGGUCGUGUGGUCUGCCUGACGGAGACCCAGAAGGGGUCCAUAGUGGUGGACCCCAAUAACCUAGACACGAUAGGGAAGUUUGAGUACACGGACUCGCUAGGUGGACUUAUCCACUCGGCCCACCCGAAAAGUAACGAUAAUAAUUAUAGAAGCAUCUCCAAUUGUUAGCAUUUGUAAGGUUUCAUAGCAUAUGCAACAUCAUGUUUCAAUAAACCCAUUUCCUAUUUAUAAACAUGUAAAAUGUUAUUUGAAAGAGCACUUUAACUUGUUUGUUAACGUACGUUUUAAAUUAAGUAAGAGAUUAAAACUUUGAAAAAGUACCACUAAGUAGAGAUGCUGACUAUAUAUAAGAUAAGUUGGAGAAGAUAAUGAUCCCAUAAUUAAAGAUUAAAUUACCAACUGCGAUGUUAACAAGAAUGGGAACAUGAAUAGAGGAUGGUGUUGUUCCAAGUAAGUUAAGAGUGAAGCAUAUCCAAACAUGCUAUUUUCGGCAUUCAAUAAUUAUAAUUGAUAUUUUUGGUUUCACAUGCAGAGUGGGACGUACCUUAGGAACGGACCAGGUCUAUGGCACCUAGGUGAUUACAACUUCCGCCACCUCUUCGACGGCUACGCGACACUCGCUAAGCUCCACUUCAAAGACGGCCGCCUGGUGUUCGGACACCGCCAAAUCGAGUCCGUUGCAUACAAGGCCGCCAAGAAGAACAACAAGCUCUGCUACCGCGAGUUCUCCGAGGCCCCCAAGCCGGACAAUUUCUUGUCCUACAUCGGUGACAUGGCCAGCCUCCUCUCCGGUGCAUCCCUCACCGACAACGCAAACACGGGAGUUGUCAAGCUUGGAGAUGGUCGUGUGGUCUGCCUGACGGAGACCCAGAAGGGGUCCAUAGUGGUGGACCCCAAUAACCUAGACACGAUAGGGAAGUUUGAGUACACGGACUCGCUAGGUGGACUUAUCCACUCGGCCCACCCGAUCGUGACCGACUCUGAGUUCCUGACCCUGCUGCCCGAUUUGAUCCGACCGGGUUACUUCGUAGUGAGGAUGGAAGCAGGGAG
This 1180-nucleotide long non-coding RNA is filed under the name Linum usitatissimum (flax). RNAcentral's name for it is "long non-coding RNA (LUSI_LNC005740)". Lineage: Eukaryota; Viridiplantae; Streptophyta; Magnoliopsida; Malpighiales; Linaceae. The record is from RNAcentral.